This 746-nucleotide ribosomal RNA is filed under the name Salmonella enterica. Its description in RNAcentral is "partial 23S ribosomal RNA". It matches the Rfam family "Bacterial large subunit ribosomal RNA", at positions 1 to 688 of the family's 2925-position model. The record is from RNAcentral. RNAcentral also lists the same sequence under 4 other names. Lineage: Bacteria; Pseudomonadati; Pseudomonadota; Gammaproteobacteria; Enterobacterales; Enterobacteriaceae.
GGUUAAGCGACUAAGCGUACACGGUGGAUGCCCUGGCAGUCAGAGGCGAUGAAGGGCGUGCUAAUCUGCGAUAAGCGCCGGUAAGGUGAUAUGAACCGUUAUAACCGGCGAUACCCGAAUGGGGAAACCCAGUGUGACUCGUCACACUAUCAUUAACUGAAUCCAUAGGUUAAUGAGGCGAACCGGGGGAACUGAAACAUCUAAGUACCCCGAGGAAAAGAAAUCAACCGAGAUUCCCCCAGUAGCGGCGAGCGAACGGGGAGGAGCCCAGAGCCUGAAUCAGCAUGUGUGUUAGUGGAAGCGUCUGGAAAGGCGCGCGAUACAGGGUGACAGCCCCGUACACAAAAGCGCAUGUGCUGUGAGCUCGAUGAGUAGGGCGGGACACGUGGUAUCCUGUCUGAAUAUGGGGGGACCAUCCUCCAAGGCUAAAUACUCCUGACUGACCGAUAGUGAACCAGUACCGUGAGGGAAAGGCGAAAAGAACCCCGGCGAGGGGAGUGAAAAAGAACCUGAAACCGUGUACGUACAAGCAGUGGGAGCCCCACCACUAAGCCAGUGGUGAACUCCACAUACGCAUCCUUUGCUGAGGAUACGGUUAACGGAGCGAAAGCGACGUUCAACCGCAAAAGAAGCAGAGGGGGCUUAGUGGUGGGGUGACUGCGUACCUUUUGUAUAAUGGGUCAGCGACUUAUAUUCUGUAGCAAGGUUAACCGAAUAGGGGAGCCGGAGGGAAACCGAGUCUUAAU